UAAGUCUCAGUUCGGAUCGCAGGCUGCAACCCGCCUGCGUGAAGCCGGAAUUGCUAGUAAUCGCGGAUCAGCAUGCCGCGGUGAAUACGUUCCCGGGCCUUGUACACACCGCCCGUCACACCAUGAGAGCCGGGGGACCCGAAGUCCGUAGUUUAACCGCAAGGAGGACGCGGCCGAAGGUAAAACUGGUGAUUGGGGUGAAGUCGUAACAAGGUAUC
RNAcentral lists this ribosomal RNA (218 nucleotides) under uncultured bacterium. RNAcentral describes it as "partial 16S ribosomal RNA". It matches the Rfam family "Bacterial small subunit ribosomal RNA", at positions 1282 to 1500 of the family's 1533-position model. The record is from RNAcentral.